GGGACCACGGUAUCUGGUUGAUCCUGCCAGUAGUCAUAUGCUUGUCUCAAAGCUUAAGCCAUGCAAGUCUCAGUGCAAACUUAAUUAAAGUGAAACCGCGAAUAGCUCAUUAAAUCAGUUAUGGUUCACUUGAGCAUCCACCGAGAGUGGAUAACUGUGGUAAUUCUAGAGCUAAUACAUGCAAUCAAGUCCCGUCCAGUGAUGGUAAGGACGCUUUUAUUAGAUCAAAACCAAUCGGUUCGGGCUCGCCCGAUCCGUUGUGUUUGAUGAAUCUGGGUAACACACCACUGAUCGCACGGUCCUAGUACCGGCGACUCGUCUUUCAAAUGCCUGACUUAUCAACUGUCGAUGGUAGAUUUUAUGUCUACCAUGGUUGUAACGGGUAACGGGGAAUCAGGGUUCGAUUCCGGAGAGGGAGCCUGAGAAACUGCUACCACAUCCAAGGAAGGCAGCAGGCACGCAAAUUACCCACUCCCGGCACGGGGAGGUAGUGACAAAAAAUAACGAUACGGGACUCAUCCGAGGCCCCGUAAUCGGAAUGAGUACACUUUAAAUCCUUUAACGAGGAUCCAUUGGAGGGCAAGUCUGGUGCCAGCAGCCGCGGUAAUUCCAGCUCCAAUAGCGUAUAUUAAAGCUGUUGCGGUUAAAAAGCUCGUAGUUGGUUCUGUGUGCCACGCUGUCGGUUCACCGCCUGCCGGUGCAACUGGCAUGCCGUGGGAUGUCUUGCCGGAGGGGUCCGAAGCCCGCAGCGGCGACUCUGUCUCGCUGUCGGGAUUAGGUCCUCGAUCACGCUGCCACGGUGCUCUUUACCGAGUGUCGGGGCAGGCCGACAAGAUUACUUUGAACAAAUUAGAGUGCUUAAAGCAGGCUUAGAGUUGCCUAAAUAGUGGUGCAUGGAAUAAUGGAAUAGGACCUUGUUUCUGUUUUGUUGGCUUUCGGAAUUCAAGGUAAUGAUCAAUGUGGACAGGCGGGGGCAUUCGUAUUGCGACGUUAGAGGUGAAAUUCUUGGAUCGUCGCAAGACGAACUAGAGCGAAAGCAUUUGCCAAGUAUGUCUUAGUUGAUCAAGAACGAAAGUUAGAGGUUCGAAGGCGAUCAGAUACCGCCCUAGUUCUAACCAUAAACGAUGCUAGCCAGCAAUCCGCCGAUGUUCCUCCGAUGACUCGGCGGGCAACCCCCGGGAAACCAAAGCUUUUGGGUUCCGGGGGAAGUAUGGUUGCAAAGCUGAAACUUAAAGGAAUUGACGGAAG
Molecule: ribosomal RNA, 1248 nt
Filed under: Stridulivelia tersa
Lineage: Eukaryota; Metazoa; Arthropoda; Insecta; Hemiptera; Veliidae
Description: SSU rRNA
Rfam family: Eukaryotic small subunit ribosomal RNA
Source: RNAcentral